UAAGAUUUCUUUUUAUUUAUGUGUGCAGACACCCUCGAAGGUCAGAAGAGGUUGUCAGAUCCCCCAGAGCUGGAAUUAUAGGUGGAUAUGAGACACAUGAUAUAGGUGCUAAGAUCUGAACUCAGGUCCCUCUGAAGAGUAGCAGGCAGCCUUAACCACUAACCCAUUUAUUUAAUUAUCUCCUAGCCACUGUUCAAAUGACUAAGAUUUAGAUAUAUUUCACAUCUAUUUGUGUUGGUUUUAGCUAGAUUGUUUCCUUUUAUUUUUUUGUUUUGAGUUUAAGUUUCAUAUCCUCAUUUUCUAAUUCUGGGCAGGGCACACACACACACACACACACACACACACACACACACACACACACACACACACACACACAUACACACACCCCGCACCUCCCCCAUUACUAGGUAUAGUUAGUGUGUCUGAGUCUGCCACUUAUCAGCAAUACUAGCAGGGCUGCAACUCCCUAGCUGCUUCAAAUGAUUUUUUUUUAAUCCUUCUAGUCCCAGCACUAAAUGUUUUUUAGUCUUCACUGCUGGUGGACAGGGUCAUUGGCUGAUUUCUGACCAAUGGAACCAGCCUUGAGUGUUUAGAAUUAUUUCCAGGCUUGUUUUGAAAAAGCCCUCCAGUGAAAUCCCCUCAUUGUCUGGUUCUUUAUGAGCUGUUGUAACACAGCAAGAUGCGGUGGAGUUGGAAAGCUGGAGGGACAUUUGUUCAGAGACCUGACCACACUGUGUCCUGGCACUUUCUACACCCAAACUCUUACAGGCAUUGGUUAUCCAGGUACCAGGCUUUUGUUAUUGUUGAUGUUCAUUUCACCAGUGAUCCUUCCUGGCUUUCAAAUAAAAGGGGUUCAGAGUGGCAGCUAUCCAUAGCGAAUUUCUGUCCAGUAAUGGCUUUGGUCACAUAUUUUAAAAACUAGAAUGUGCUAUUUUUUCUUGUUGACAAAUAAUUUUAUUUUAAAAUAUAAAUACUUUCUGACAUCAGACCUCAGAAUGAAAGAAUUCAAAUGUACUUGAAAAGGUUAUCAGUCCUAAGAAGUAAUAAAAAAAAUACAUGUAGUGAGAAGAAUAAGUUUGGAUUAUAAUACAUUUUGAAGGAAUGAUAAAAUACUUUUGAGACAGUGUUUAGUAAUGGAUAUUUCAUAUAGGCAAAUUCAAAACAGGCUUGUAAAAGGUAAAACACAUUAUUGUAUAGGCAUAUCUUAUGUGCUAUUUAAAAAAGUAAGUUAUACAAGUCACUAUACACUUCUAGAAAAACUAAAAAGAAAGUAAAAGCGUUUAUCCUUUUAGACUGUGUAGAUACAGAUAUAUCUUCCCGACAAGAAUAACCACAUGCUAGUAUUAGUUCCAUUCUUGCUGCUAUGACCAGACACCUGGAAGAGAGAACGUAAAGGAGGGAGGGUUUAUUUGGGCUCAUAGUUCACAGGAACACAGUCCGUCCAUCCUGGCAAGGAAGGCAUGGCAAGAAGAGGGUGGGUGUCUGAUCACAUCUGGUCCCUGCUCAGGACACAGAGAGAGAUGAAAGCUGGUGUUCUUGGUGUUCUACUGCCUGCUCCUUCUAAGGUUUUCAUUUAAAGUGUGACUCUCUCUCUCUCUCUCUCUCUCUCUCUCUCUCUCUCUCUCUCUCUCUCUCUCUCUCUGUGUGUGUGUGUGUGUGUGUGUGUGUGUGUGUGUGUGUGUGUGUGUGUGUGUGUGUGUGUACAUGAGUACAAUGUCCAAAGAAGCCAGAGGGGCAUCAGAUUUCUUAGAGCUGUAGUUAUAAGGGGCGGUGAGCCACCCCACAUGGCUCUGGGAACAGAACUCAGGUCCUUUGGAAGAACAGUAAGUGCUCUUAACCCAUGAGCAAUCCCUUAGCCCUAUUUUCACUUUUUUGUUCAAUCUGGGCUCCCAGACCAUGGAGUGAUGCUUCCUACAGUCAAGGUGAGUCUUCCUACCUCAGCUGAAGAUCUCUGAAAACACUUUCGCAGGCAUGUCCAUGAUUUGUCUUUCAGGUGAUUCCAGAUCCAGUCCAGCUGACAGUUAAGACCAAUCCAUGUUUAGUGUCUUAUAACUUUUUCCAUUGUUUGACAUUUACUGUAAACAUUUUUUGUAUAUGUCAUCAUUUUGAAUGAUGGCACUGUCACCUAAAUUUCCUGUGAUGAAUAUCCAUGUACAUUUAUCUUUACCUCUGUCUUUAUUUUGUUAAGGUCAUUGUUGAGUAGAAGCACCAAUUUAACAUCUUGUUCUACAGCUACUACAGCAUUAUCCCUCUCCGAGUCUUCCAAGCAUCGGGCAGCAAGCUGGCGUGCGGCACUGUGUUCUAAGGAGAGGACAUUUCCCUGAAGAACCGUUCAUGUCUCUCCUGCUUUUGGAGCCUGAAGAUGCAGUGGUCGCUUUUCUCACGGUUGCAGCAAAGUAUCUGAGGAAAUCGGCUUAAGGAUGGGUUCAUUUGGCUCAUGGUUGGAAGGUUCCAGCCAUCAUGAUGAGGAGGAAGUCGUGGCAGAGGGAGCGCCAGGCCGCGGGUCACAUUUGCCUCUGCAGGUGCUCGGUUCAUUUUCUCUAGUCUCUAACAGUCCUGCUCACUGCUAGGCAACCCCACCUCAGCUAAUUUAGCCGUUCCCUCACAGACAGGCCCACAGGUUCGUUCCCUAGGUGAUUCUGGAUUCUGUCACGUUGACAACCAGGGUGAAGCACCACAGGGCAUAAGCCAAAGUUUGAUGGGCAAUAGUGCUUUCCAGAACAGGGAAAAAUUAGCAGCCCGGGUGUCACAAACUGGUGGCCCGUGCCCUUCACUCUUUAUAGGGAAAUCCUACAGUGUGUCUUCUUUUAUGUUUGACCAAAGCCCCUGACCAAUUCCCUAAAAUGGUUGCUCUGUUCUCUGGAAAAAAUAAUGAUGUUCACUGAUCAAUUUGCA
Long non-coding RNA from Peromyscus californicus insignis, 2895 nucleotides. RefSeq lists it as uncharacterized. The record is from RefSeq and is a predicted model, not a curated record. NCBI's taxonomy places the organism in Eukaryota, Metazoa, Chordata, Mammalia, Rodentia, Cricetidae. The transcript has 2 exons.